GCUUGUUACUGGUAGUGUUACCUUUAGGUACAGCUGUGAGCUUGGCUUGUUACUGGUAGUGUUACCUUUAGGUACAGCUGUGAGCUUGGCUUGUUACUGGUAGUGUUACCUUUAGGUACAGCUGUGAGCUUGGCUUGUUACUGGUAGUGUUACCUUUAGGUACAGCUGUGAGCUUGUUACUGGUAGUGUUACCUUUAGGUACAGCUGUGAGCUUGGCUUGUUACUGGUAGUGUUACCUUUAGGUACAGCUGUGAGCUUGGCUUGUUACUGGUAGUGUUACCUUUAGGUACAGCUGUGAGCUUGUUACUGGUAGUGUUACCUUUAGGUACAGCUGUGAGCUUGUUACUGGUAGUGUUACCUUUAGGUACAGCUGUGAGCUUGUUACUGGUAGUGUUACCUUUAGGUACAGCUGUGAGCUUGUUACUGGUAGUGUUACCUUUAGGUACAGCUGUGAGCUUGUUACUGGUAGUGUUACCUUUAGGUACAGCUGUGAGCUUGUUACUGGUAGUGUUACCUUUAGGUACAGCUGUGAGCUUGUUACUGGUAGUGUUACCUUUAGGUACAGCUGUGAGCUUGUUACUGGUAGUGUUACCUUUAGGUACAGCUGUGAGCUUGUUACUGGUAGUGUUACCUUUAGGUACAGCUGUGAGCUUGUUACUGGUAGUGUUACCUUUAGGUACAGCUGUGAGCUUGUUACUGGUAGUGUUACCUUUAGGUACAGCUGUGAGCUUGUUACUGGUAGUGUUACCUUUAGGUACAGCUGUGAGCUUGUUACUGGUAGUGUUACCUUUAGGUACAGCUGUGAGCUUGUUACUGGUAGUGUUACCUUUAGGUACAGCUGUGAGCUUGUUACUGGUAGUGUUACCUUUAGGUACAGCUGUGAGCUUGUUACUGGUAGUGUUACCUUUAGGUACAGCUGUGAGCUUGUUACUGGUAGUGUUACCUUUAGGUACAGCUGUGAGCUUGGCUUGUUACUGGUAGUGUUACCUUUAGGUACAGCUGUGAGCUUGUUACUGGUAGUGUUACCUUUAGGUACAGCUGUGAGCUUGGCUUGUUACUGGUAGU
Oncorhynchus keta (chum salmon) is the source of this 1065-nucleotide long non-coding RNA. RefSeq lists it as uncharacterized. The transcript is spliced from 3 exons. The record is from RefSeq and is a predicted model, not a curated record. NCBI's taxonomy places the organism in Eukaryota, Metazoa, Chordata, Actinopteri, Salmoniformes, Salmonidae.